Molecule: ribosomal RNA, 484 nt
Filed under: uncultured bacterium
Lineage: Bacteria
Description: partial 16S ribosomal RNA
Rfam family: Bacterial small subunit ribosomal RNA
Source: RNAcentral
AUUGAACGCUGGCGGCAUGCUUUACACAUGCAAGUCGAACGGCAGCGCGGGCUUCGGCCUGGCGGCGAGUGGCGAACGGGUGAGUAAUACAUCGGAACGUGCCCAGUAGUGGGGGAUAGCUCGGCGAAAGCCGGAUUAAUACCGCAUACGACCUGAGGGUGAAAGCGGGGGAUCUUCGGACCUCGCGCUAGUGGAGCGGCCGAUGGCAGAUUAGCUAGUUGGUGGGGUAAAGGCCUACCAAGGCGACGAUCUGUAGCUGGUCUGAGAGGACGACCAGCCACACUGGGACUGAGACACGGCCCAGACUCCUACGGGAGGCAGCAGUGGGGAAUUUUGGACAAUGGGCGAAAGCCUGAUCCAGCAAUGCCGCGUGUGUGAUGAAGGCCUUCGGGUUGUAAAGCACUUUUGGCGGGAACGAAAAGGACUGUGCCAAUACCACGGUUCGAUGACGGUACCCGCAGAAUAAGCACCGGCUAACUACGUG